RNAcentral lists this ribosomal RNA (340 nucleotides) under uncultured bacterium. RNAcentral's name for it is "bacterial SSU rRNA". It matches the Rfam family "Bacterial small subunit ribosomal RNA", at positions 9 to 339 of the family's 1533-position model. The record is from RNAcentral.
GAGUUUGAUCUUGGCUCAGGAUAAACGCUGGCGGCGCACAUAAGACAUGCAAGUCGAACGGACUUAAUCGAAAUAUUUAUAUUUUGAAGCGGUUAGUGGCGGACUGGUGAGUAACGCGUAAGGAACCUGCCUGUUAGAGGGGAAUAACAGUGAGAAAUCACUGCUAAUACCGCAUAUGCCAUAGUUACCACAUGGUAAUAGUGGGAAAGGAGCAAUCCGCUGACAGAUGGCCUUGCGUCUGAUUAGAUAGUUGGUGGGUAACGGCCUACCAAGUCGACGAUCAGUAGCCGGACUGAGAGGUUGAACGGCCACAUUGGGACUGAGAUACGGCCCAGACUCC